Molecule: long non-coding RNA, 1812 nt
Organism: Thalassophryne amazonica
Lineage: Eukaryota; Metazoa; Chordata; Actinopteri; Batrachoidiformes; Batrachoididae
Exons: 2
Source: RefSeq, a predicted model, not a curated record
AGAGAAUCUUCACGUCUGGUCCAUACUGCAGCAAAACUGAUGGAUGCCCUGAACAAAAUGUGUAAUGGACCCAUACUAGCUUUAGGCACAUUUUAGCACAUUUUCUACAGUGCACCAUUAUUCUAAACCAGGGGGGUUCGCAAUCUGGGACUCAAGGAUCCCUGAACCUGCACAUUUUCCAUCUCUCCCUGCUCUUUCAUAAGCUGAUCUGCUAAUUCAGAUUGCACAGCCAAUCAACUCCUAACAGACACCUGAAUUAGCAGGAAGAUAUGGAAAAUGUGCAGGUCCAGGGGUCCUUGAGAACCAGAUUGAGAACCCCUGCUCUAACCUAUUCCAAACAUGACUGUGAGCCAACUAGGACUGGCUGAUAUGGUAAAAAAUAAAUAAAUAUUUUUUGCCAUUUAUUUUACAAAAACACUGCAAUGACUGUUGCAUUUUCUUUGAGUUCUAUUUAGCUGCAUUUAAUGUUUUCUGGUCAACUUCACUUUGUUUAUUAAUACAAAUCCAUGUCCUGCCAUGCCAUGACCUGCAACACAUCCCCCCCAAAAGUUGGAACACUAAAGCAUUUACCACUUUGUAAUGCUGACAGACGUUCUCACAACACUCCUUGCACAGGCCUUCAAUACUUAAGUGGAGUUGCACUUUUGUAUUAAAUUAAAUUUUUUUAUUGUAUUUAUGUAUGUAUUUUAUUGCUUUUUGUAUUUUUAUACCAUUUUAUUCUGUAUCUGAAGCAUUUUGGGCAGCUUUGGUUGUUGCAAAUGUGCUAUAUAAAUACAUUGGACUUUGACAAUACAAAAGGUGUUUUUACACUGAGGACACCAAGUGAUGAAGAGUUUCAGGUGUUAUUUUGUCCAUACACUUCAAUUCUGCAGCCAUGUCCUUGUAAUGUGUGCAGAAUGUGGCUGUUCAUGGUCUUGUAAAAAAAAAAAAAAAAAAUGCAUAUACUGCCCUGAAAAGGAUGUCAUCUUGAAGGCAGCGUAUGUUGCUCUAUUGCUCAGUGUACUUUUUUGUAUCAAUGCUGCCAUCACAGAAGGGUAAAUUACCUUUGGAAAAGGCAUGGAUGUAACACCAGACAACGACAGACCCUGGCUUUUGGACUUGUUGCUGACAACGCUGUGGAUGGUCCUUUCCAUCUUUGGUCCAGAGCAUAAAGUGUCCAUUUCUUCAGAAAAAUAAAAGAUCUGGAAUACUAAUUUGUCUGACCACAGUUCACGUUUCAACUUUGUAAUGGUCCAAACCCAGAUGCCUCCAAUCCUAAACAAGAAGAUGGCACUUCUGGACAAAGUCAACAUAAGGCUUCUUUUUUGCCCAAUAAUGUGUUAAGUGGUAUUUGUGAAUGUAACUGCCCAUUGUAGUGCUCCACAAGGGGUUCCCAAAGUAAUCCCAUGUGGUUAUAUCAGCUACUGAUGAAUGACUGUUCUUGAUGCAGUACUGCCUGGGGGAUUGGAGCUCACAGGUGUUCAGUUUAGACCGGGACCCUUGUCCUUUAAGCAAUGAAAUUCCUCCAGACUCUUGGAAUCGUUUAAUAUUAUGCACUGCAGAGGGAGAAAUAUGGAAAUCCUUUCAAACCUUUUUGUUUUUUGAGGAACCUUGUUUUCAACAUUUAUAAUUUCUUAUGCAUUUGUUGACAAACUGGAGAUCCUCUGCCCAUGUUUAUUCCUCAAAUACUUAGCCUGUCAUGGAUACUGCUUUUGUACCAAACCAUGAAUAUAAUCACUUGGUGGUGGUAAUAUAUUUAUAAUAUUACUAUUAUUAUUACCACCUCAUUACUAGCCCUAAAUUUCCAUAGUCCCAACUUUUUAUGCUUUGUGG